Molecule: ribosomal RNA, 253 nt
Filed under: uncultured bacterium
Lineage: Bacteria
Description: partial 16S ribosomal RNA
Rfam family: Bacterial small subunit ribosomal RNA
Source: RNAcentral
UACGUAGGGUGCGAGCGUUGUCCGGAAUUAUUGGGCGUAAAGGGCUCGUAGGCGGUCUGUCGCGUCGGGAGUGAAAACUCGGGGCUUAACUCCGAGCCUGCUUCUGAUACGGGCAGACUAGAGGUAUGCAGGGGAGAAUGGAAUUCCUGGUGUAGCGGUGAAAUGCGCAGAUAUCAGGAGGAACACCGAUGGCGAAGGCAGGUCUCUGGGCAUUAACUGACGCUGAGGAGCGAAAGCAUGGGGAGCGAACAGG